Molecule: unclassified non-coding RNA, 16 nt
Filed under: synthetic construct
Description: RNA (5'-R(P*GP*UP*UP*UP*UP*CP*GP*UP*UP*GP*UP*UP*UP*UP*UP*U)-3') from synthetic construct (PDB 7WBW, chain P)
Source: RNAcentral
GUUUUCGUUGUUUUUU